This 74-nucleotide transfer RNA is filed under the name Flavobacterium sp. RNAcentral describes it as "tRNA-Cys". It matches the Rfam family "tRNA". Rfam says of the family: Transfer RNA (tRNA) molecules are approximately 80 nucleotides in length. Their secondary structure includes four short double-helical elements and three loops (D, anti-codon, and T loops). The record is from RNAcentral. Lineage: Bacteria; Pseudomonadati; Bacteroidota; Flavobacteriia; Flavobacteriales; Flavobacteriaceae.
GGCCGGAUAGCUGAGUGGUUAGGCGAAGGAAUGCAAUGCUUUAUACAAUGGUUCGAAUCCAUUUCCGGCCUCAA